This 253-nucleotide ribosomal RNA is filed under the name uncultured bacterium. Its description in RNAcentral is "partial 16S ribosomal RNA". It matches the Rfam family "Bacterial small subunit ribosomal RNA", at positions 524 to 776 of the family's 1533-position model. The record is from RNAcentral.
UACGUAGGGGGCUAGCGUUGUCCGGAAUCAUUGGGCGUAAAGAGCGUGUAGGCGGCCCGGUAAGUCCGCUGUAAAAGUCAAAGGCUCAACCUUUGAAUGUCAGUGGAUACUGCCGGGCUAGAGUCCGGAAGAGGCGAGUGGAACUCCUGGUGUAGCGGUGGAAUGCGCAGAUAUCAGGAAGAACACCAACGGCGAAGGCAGCUCGCUGGGACGGUACUGACGCUGAGACGCAAAAGCGUGGGGAGCGAACAGG